This 2197-nucleotide ribosomal RNA is filed under the name Citrobacter sp. Cf084. Its description in RNAcentral is "partial 23S ribosomal RNA". It matches the Rfam family "Bacterial large subunit ribosomal RNA", at positions 644 to 2822 of the family's 2925-position model. The record is from RNAcentral. Lineage: Bacteria; Pseudomonadati; Pseudomonadota; Gammaproteobacteria; Enterobacterales; Enterobacteriaceae.
GGUUAACCGUAUAGGGGAGCCGAAGGGAAACCGAGUCUUAACUGGGCGUUAAGUUGCAGGGUAUAGACCCGAAACCCGGUGAUCUAGCCAUGGGCAGGUUGAAGGUUGGGUAACACUAACUGGAGGACCGAACCGACUAAUGUUGAAAAAUUAGCGGAUGACUUGUGGCUGGGGGUGAAAGGCCAAUCAAACCGGGAGAUAGCUGGUUCUCCCCGAAAGCUAUUUAGGUAGCGCCUCGUGAAUUCAUCUUCGGGGGUAGAGCACUGUUUCGGCUAGGGGGUCAUCCCGACUUACCAACCCGAUGCAAACUGCGAAUACCGAAGAAUGUUAUCACGGGAGACACACGGCGGGUGCUAACGUCCGUCGUGAAGAGGGAAACAACCCAGACCGCCAGCUAAGGUCCCAAAGUCAUGGUUAAGUGGGAAACGAUGUGGGAAGGCACAGACAGCCAGGAUGUUGGCUUAGAAGCAGCCAUCAUUUAAAGAAAGCGUAAUAGCUCACUGGUCGAGUCGGCCUGCGCGGAAGAUGUAACGGGGCUAAACCAUGCACCGAAGCUGCGGCAGCGACACUAUGUGUUGUUGGGUAGGGGAGCGUUCUGUAAGCCGUUGAAGGUGUGCUGUGAGGCAUGCUGGAGGUAUCAGAAGUGCGAAUGCUGACAUAAGUAACGAUAAUGCGGGUGAAAAACCCGCACGCCGGAAGACCAAGGGUUCCUGUCCAACGUUAAUCGGGGCAGGGUGAGUCGACCCCUAAGGCGAGGCCGAAAGGCGUAGUCGAUGGGAAACAGGUUAAUAUUCCUGUACUUGGUGUUACUGCGAAGGGGGGACGGAGAAGGCUAUGUUAGCCGGGCGACGGUUGUCCCGGUUUAAGCAUGUAGGCGGAGGUUCCAGGUAAAUCCGGUACCUUUUUAACGCUGAGGUGUGAUGACGAGGCACUACGGUGCUGAAGUAACAAAUGCCCUGCUUCCAGGAAAAGCCUCUAAGCAUCAGGUAACACGAAAUCGUACCCCAAACCGACACAGGUGGUCAGGUAGAGAAUACCAAGGCGCUUGAGAGAACUCGGGUGAAGGAACUAGGCAAAAUGGUGCCGUAACUUCGGGAGAAGGCACGCUGAUAUGUAGGUGAAGUGAUUUACUCAUGGAGCUGAAAUCAGUCGAAGAUACCAGCUGGCUGCAACUGUUUAUUAAAAACACAGCACUGUGCAAACACGAAAGUGGACGUAUACGGUGUGACGCCUGCCCGGUGCCGGAAGGUUAAUUGAUGGGGUUAUCCGUAAGGAGAAGCUCUUGAUCGAAGCCCCGGUAAACGGCGGCCGUAACUAUAACGGUCCUAAGGUAGCGAAAUUCCUUGUCGGGUAAGUUCCGACCUGCACGAAUGGCGUAAUGAUGGCCAGGCUGUCUCCACCCGAGACUCAGUGAAAUUGAACUCGCUGUGAAGAUGCAGUGUACCCGCGGCAAGACGGAAAGACCCCGUGAACCUUUACUAUAGCUUGACACUGAACACUGGUCCUUGAUGUGUAGGAUAGGUGGGAGGCUUUGAAGUGUGGACGCCAGUCUGCAUGGAGCCAUCCUUGAAAUACCACCCUUUAAUGGCUGGUGUUCUAACGUGGACCCGUGAUCCGGGUUGCGGACAGUGUCUGGUGGGUAGUUUGACUGGGGCGGUCUCCUCCUAAAGAGUAACGGAGGAGCACGAAGGUUAGCUAAUCCUGGUCGGACAUCAGGAGGUUAGUGCAAAGGCAUAAGCUAGCUUGACUGCGAGAGUGACGGCUCGAGCAGGUGCGAAAGCAGGUCUUAGUGAUCCGGUGGUUCUGAAUGGAAGGGCCAUCGCUCAACGGAUAAAAGGUACUCCGGGGAUAACAGGCUGAUACCGCCCAAGAGUUCAUAUCGACGGCGGUGUUUGGCACCUCGAUGUCGGCUCAUCACAUCCUGGGGCUGAAGUAGGUCCCAAGGGUAUGGCUGUUCGCCAUUUAAAGUGGUACGCGAGCUGGGUUUAGAACGUCGUGAGACAGUUCGGUCCCUAUCUGCCGUGGGCGCUGGAGAAUUGAGGGGGGCUGCUCCUAGUACGAGAGGACCGGAGUGGACGCAUCACUGGUGUUCGGGUUGUCAUGCCAAUGGCAUUGCCCGGUAGCUAAAUGCGGAAGAGAUAAGUGCUGAAAGCAUCUAAGCACGAAACUUGCCCCGAGAUGAGUUCUCCCUGAGACU